Molecule: small nucleolar RNA, 136 nt
Organism: Acomys russatus (golden spiny mouse)
Lineage: Eukaryota; Metazoa; Chordata; Mammalia; Rodentia; Muridae
Product: small nucleolar RNA SNORA70
Exons: 1
Source: RefSeq, a predicted model, not a curated record
UUGCAGCUAACUAAAUGACUAAGUACCUUUCCCCAUGGGGAUUUGGUAUGCAGUGGUUGCAAACAGCAGCCUCCUUGGUGUGGUGUAUGUAGCCUGUUCCCUAUAUGGGUUGCCCCAAGGGACCCUGGAGACUAUU